GAACUGCUGCCCUCAGCACCGGGAGAGCAGGGAGCAAGGGGCAUGUGGCUCCCUUAACGGGUCGACUCCUGCCCCAGCCUGCCAGGGUCGCCAUGCCUCCUCCCAUUUGCUUUUUAGGACUCGUUGAAAUAAGCAGAGCGUGGAAGUAGAGGCUCUGAAGGCAGUGAUGGACCCCCCAGGAAGCUGUUGGGGCCGCAUCAAAAUACAAAGCUUCUGCACAGCAAAGGCAACAAUCCACAAAACUAAAAGACAACCUACUGUAUUUGCAGCAUCAUUUAAAGAGCCACACUAUGGAAGCAAUAGAUGAAUGGAUAGAGAAGAUCUGGCAUGAAACCAGAAUGCGAUGUGUAUCACAGGCGGUCCUCCGAGAGAUUGCAAAGACGAGGAGGUUGUAGGCUGCUGUGUAGCCAAGCGGAUGCAGCCCACUACUUCCGUGCUCUCAGGAGAAAGUGCGACUACUCCUCAGGUAAGAGGCCCUGACAAUACUAUUUGUUACACACAGUUAUGAGGAGUGUAGAUUUAUAGUAAAUCUUGCAAUCAGGGAGUGUGAAUCCUCCAACUUUUUCUUGUUCAAAAUAGUUGUAGUUCUUUGUUUUCUUUGUAUAAAUUUUAGAAGAAGCUUGUGAAUAUCUACCAAAAAUCCCACUCGGAUUUUGACUGAGAUUGCGUUGCUCUGUUGAUGAAAUUAGGGGAGAAUUGACAUCUUAAUAAUAUUGAAUUUUCUUAUCCACAAACAUAGGCUAUCUCUCCAUUUAUUUAGGUCUUCUUUGAUUUUUCUCAUCAACAUUUGUAGUUUUCAGCAUUAAAAUCUUAGAUUUAUCCCAAAGUAGUUCAUGGUUUUUAAUGCUACUAUAAGAGUGCUGAUGAUUUAAUUCCAAUUUCCAAUGGUUCACUGCUGAUAAUGGAUCCUUGCAUGUUGACCUUGCAUUCUCCUACCUUGCUAAGCCAAUUUCUUAGUUCUGGAAUAUUUUUUCCCUUUUGGGGAUUUUCUGCAUAAAUAAUCAUGUCAUCUCUGAAUAAAGAGAACUUUAUUAUUUCCUUUACACUUUUUAUGACUUGUUUUUUUUGGUGGUGGUGGUGGUGGUGGUGGUUGUUUUCCCUUUCCUCAUUUCACUGGCUGGAUGUCCAAUAGGAUGCUGAACUGGAAUGAUAGGGUGGACAUCCUGGCCUUUUCCCGACCUUAAGGGGAAAGUCUCCAGCCUUAUGCUUCCUGUAUUCUUACUGAUUUUCUGUCUUUGUGUUUUACUGAAUACUAAGAAAGGAGGUUAAAGUCUCCAAGUACACUUUUGGGUUUAUCUGUCCUUUUGAUUAGUUUAGGUUUUGCUUCAUGUAUUUUGAAGAAGUUUUAGGUGCACACAUUUUUAGGAUUAUGAAGUCCUCCUGGUAAGUCGACAUAUUUAUCUUUCUGUAAUGUCUGUCUUUAUCUUUUUCUUAAAGAAAGAUUUAUUUAUUUAUUCGAGAGAGAGAGAGAGACAGAGAGAGCAUGAGCAAG
Zalophus californianus (California sea lion) is the source of this 1492-nucleotide long non-coding RNA. RefSeq lists it as uncharacterized. The record is from RefSeq and is a predicted model, not a curated record. The transcript is spliced from 3 exons. Lineage: Eukaryota; Metazoa; Chordata; Mammalia; Carnivora; Otariidae.